AGAGUCCCACAUUCCUCAGUAAUGAAUUAAUGAUACUGAUUUUGUUCAAUUGAUGUUUACAGGCCUUGAGAAGUGAAGAUCAAGUUCUUCCCUUGUGUGAGACUCCAUGCACAUACAGGAGGGGAAAGUUCUGAUUCUACAGAUGACAGUAUACAAGGGGUAAAAGGGCCCACUGUACCAUGAGAUCAACAAGAUUAGAUAUCUUUGUAACCUGCUUACCAGCAGAAUGUGAUAUUGAGGCUGAGACAAGAAGCUAAGAGCAACUGACCUGCAAGAUUAAGUGCUGUGGCUCUGUAACCCUCUGCUGGACUAAACCUGAAGUUUGCUGAGCUGCACCUCACUGCAUGGUAUUGUGUGUGGACAUCUUCAGAAGGCAAAGAACAGAGCAAGCCAUUGCUUCUACUGACAGCGCUGAAAAGGGCAUCUUCAAGGAAGAAUUCUCGUGGGCACCUGGGAUGAAGGUGAUGAAUGUGCUGUACCGGGAUGAUAGCAUUCUUCCCCUGCCCAGUUGA
Molecule: long non-coding RNA, 512 nt
Filed under: Coturnix japonica (Japanese quail)
Lineage: Eukaryota; Metazoa; Chordata; Aves; Galliformes; Phasianidae
Description: lncRNA (ENSCJPG00005013049.1)
Source: RNAcentral